GCCAGGUGCAGUGGCCCACGCCUGUAAUCCCAGCUGCUCAGGAGGCGGAGGCAGAAGGAUCAAAAGUUCAGAAUCAAUCUCAGCAAUGGCGAGGCACUAAGCAACUCAGUGAGACCCUGUCUCUA
Molecule: small RNA, 125 nt
Filed under: Marmota monax (woodchuck)
Lineage: Eukaryota; Metazoa; Chordata; Mammalia; Rodentia; Sciuridae
Source: RNAcentral